AUACUUUUCUCGGUCUUUUGGCUAAGAUAAAGUGAAGUAUUUGUUCUUAUCGGUUUAAUAUCUAAUAUGUGGGCUAUCGGCUCACAUGAUAUUCUCUCUAUCAUAU
Molecule: small nuclear RNA, 106 nt
Filed under: Eutrema salsugineum
Lineage: Eukaryota; Viridiplantae; Streptophyta; Magnoliopsida; Brassicales; Brassicaceae
Description: U2 spliceosomal RNA
Rfam family: U2 spliceosomal RNA
About the family: U2 is a small nuclear RNA (snRNA) component of the spliceosome (involved in pre-mRNA splicing). Complementary binding between U2 snRNA (in an area lying towards the 5' end but 3' to hairpin I) and the branchpoint sequence (BPS) of the intron results the bulging out of an unpaired adenosine, on the BPS, which initiates a nucleophilic attack at the intronic 5' splice site, thus starting the first of two transesterification reactions that mediate splicing.
Source: Rfam by way of RNAcentral